RNAcentral lists this ribosomal RNA (778 nucleotides) under uncultured Burkholderia sp. RNAcentral describes it as "bacterial SSU rRNA". It matches the Rfam family "Bacterial small subunit ribosomal RNA", at positions 9 to 781 of the family's 1533-position model. The record is from RNAcentral. Lineage: Bacteria; Pseudomonadati; Pseudomonadota; Betaproteobacteria; Burkholderiales; Burkholderiaceae.
GAGUUUGAUCCUGGUUCAGAUUGAACGCUGGCGGCAUGCCUUACACAUGCAAGUCGAACGGCAGCACGGGGGCAACCCUGGUGGCGAGUGGCGAACGGGUGAGUAAUACAUCGGAACGUGUCCUGUAGUGGGGGAUAGCCCGGCGAAAGCCGGAUUAAUACCGCAUACGCUCUACGGAGGAAAGGGGGGGAUCUUAGGACCUCCCGCUACAGGGGCGGCCGAUGGCAGAUUAGCUAGUUGGUGGGGUAAAGGCCUACCAAGGCGACGAUCUGUAGCUGGUCUGAGAGGACGACCAGCCACACUGGGACUGAGACACGGCCCAGACUCCUACGGGAGGCAGCAGUGGGGAAUUUUGGACAAUGGGGGCAACCCUGAUCCAGCAAUGCCGCGUGUGUGAAGAAGGCCUUCGGGUUGUAAAGCACUUUUGUCCGGAAAGAAAACGCCGUGGUUAAUACCCGUGGCGGAUGACGGUACCGGAAGAAUAAGCACCGGCUAACUACGUGCCAGCAGCCGCGGUAAUACGUAGGGUGCAAGCGUUAAUCGGAAUUACUGGGCGUAAAGCGUGCGCAGGCGGUCCGCUAAGACAGAUGUGAAAUCCCCGGGCUUAACCUGGGAACUGCAUUUGUGACUGGCGGGCUAGAGUAUGGCAGAGGGGGGUAGAAUUCCACGUGUAGCAGUGAAAUGCGUAGAGAUGUGGAGGAAUACCGAUGGCGAAGGCAGCCCCCCUGGGCCAAUACUGACGCUCAUGCACGAAAGCGUGGGGAGCAAACAGGAUUAG